AGUGAACGCUGGCGGUAGGCCUAACACAUGCAAGUCGAACGGCAGCACAGUAAGAGCUUGCUCUUACGGGUGGCGAGUGGCGGACGGGUGAGGAAUACAUCGGAAUCUACUUUUUCGUGGGGGAUAACGUAGGGAAACUUACGCUAAUACCGCAUACGACCUACGGGUGAAAGCAGGGGAUCUUCGGACCUUGUGCGAUUGAAUGAGCCGAUGUCGGAUUAGCUAGUUGGCGGGGUAAAGGCCCACCAAGGCGACGAUCCGUAGCUGGUCUGAGAGGAUGAUCAGCGACACUGGAGCUGAGCCACGGUCCAGACUCCUACGGGAGGCAGCAGUGUGGAAUAGUGGACAAUGGGGGCAAGUCUGAUCCAGCCAUACCGCGUGGGUGACGAAGGCCUUCGGGUUGUAAAGCCCUUUUGUUGGGAAAGAAAAGCAGCAGGUUAAUACCCCGCUGUUCUGACGGUACCCAAAGAAUAAGCACCGGCUAACUUCGUG
This 492-nucleotide ribosomal RNA is filed under the name uncultured bacterium. RNAcentral describes it as "partial 16S ribosomal RNA". It matches the Rfam family "Bacterial small subunit ribosomal RNA", at positions 29 to 507 of the family's 1533-position model. The record is from RNAcentral.